Long non-coding RNA from Xyrauchen texanus (razorback sucker), 657 nucleotides. RefSeq lists it as uncharacterized. Lineage: Eukaryota; Metazoa; Chordata; Actinopteri; Cypriniformes; Catostomidae. The record is from RefSeq and is a predicted model, not a curated record. The transcript has 3 exons.
UAAUAAUAAUAUUCAAAAAUGUAUUCAGACCCUUUUACUAUUGAAAGAAUGGACAAAAUAAUACAUCGUGCUAACUUCAGUCCACUCAUCUUUUUCAGAUAAAAAUGUUUUGUCCUUUCUGUGGCAUUCAAUGGGCGACUUUGCCCAGAUUUUGUAGUUCCUGUGGGCGAGAUGUAAGGUUUGUAGAGAACGCCUCUAGAACUGCAGGUGAUGACCAUGUGUCACAUAUGACUGUGCCCAGGGCAGUGACUGAUGCAUGUGCCAUUCCAUCAAAGCCAACUGUUCUCCAGUUUAUGAAAUACAGAGAAGUAAAAGAAACUGAAAGGAAGACAUUUUCUAAAAGUAAAAAGAAAUCAAAUAAAACAGUAAAGAUUUCUGUUGGGAUCAUGAGCAAGACCAGGAAUGGCUUUAAGCCCAUGAGAGGGAAAAACCUACCUCUACAUGUUGACCCCCAGUGGGCAUCUGAGCAACUCUUGGCAGCUGCAGUGAAAAAACAAAGAUUUCAAUCAAGACAUGGAAGAUGGAGAACAUGUCUUGCUUUAUCCAGAUGGCUCUCAGAUAAAAAAUAUCCCUGGGACUGACACUCCUUUUACCAUUGGACAAUACAAAGCGGCCAUUGGAAAGGCGUUUCAAAGGAUCACAUUGUACAUCUGUACC